RNAcentral lists this ribosomal RNA (253 nucleotides) under uncultured bacterium. Its description in RNAcentral is "partial 16S ribosomal RNA". It matches the Rfam family "Bacterial small subunit ribosomal RNA", at positions 524 to 776 of the family's 1533-position model. The record is from RNAcentral.
UACGGAGGAUGCAAGCGUUAUCCGGAAUGAUUGGGCGUAAAGCGUCCGCAGGUGGCUAUGUAAGUCUGCUGUUAAAGAGUGAGGCUCAACCUCAUAAAAGCAGUGGAAACUACAUGGCUAGAGUGCGUUCGGGGCAGAGGGAAUUCCUGGUGUAGCGGUGAAAUGCGUAGAGAUCAGGAAGAACACCGGUGGCGAAAGCGCUCUGCUAGGCCGCAACUGACACUGAGGGACGAAAGCUAGGGGAGCGAAUGGG